This 249-nucleotide long non-coding RNA is filed under the name Hordeum vulgare. Its description in RNAcentral is "long non-coding RNA (HVUL_LNC013730)". Lineage: Eukaryota; Viridiplantae; Streptophyta; Magnoliopsida; Poales; Poaceae. The record is from RNAcentral.
GAACAUAUGUGGAAAUGGAACUUUCCGUUUUCGUUAAUAUGGAAUUUCCCAUUUUUACUAUAGGCCUACGGCUGCUUUGUAGCUCAACCACCAAAUAACACACAAUGAAAUAAUGAGCAUAAUGGAUCAUUUGAGGCCCAACUUAUACUACCAUAUAUGUACUCAGCUAGACCCUAUACACAAUUGUCAUGUACUAAUACAAUACUAGGAUAUGUUGCUAACGUAAUCAAAUUAUUUUGUAGACAUGUU